CACGGCCGUGCGGGGCCUUCGGGGCGCUGCGGGGAAGAAGCUGUCUGGAAAGAAUGUGCGGACAUAAAUCUCCGCAGCGUGAGAUAAAGCAUCAGACGCGGUUUAGUGUUUUGUAGGAAGAGAAUUUCCUUGCGGUUUCUCGCAAGAGGUGUCAGGGGCAUCGCUUGAUGGGCAGCGUGGCUGUAGGGGCUCGGCUUUGUUUUCUGCCCUGCCGACGUAAGUGAUGCGCCCCAAUCCGUAGUCAGCUGUGGUUGGUGUGCGCCGGGUGUCCCCUGGGCGUGAGGAGUGGUCCUUGAACUGCCAGCUCUGGGCUGGGCUUCCUGAGCGCGUGCCUUUGUUUGGUUUGGUUUCUUCAGGUGGUUAAAAAAGGGGGAACCGCUGUUCCUUUUCGGUGCUCCCAGCGCAGUAUUUCAAGUUCCUCUUUGCCGAGAGAAUUCAGCAGAGUGGGUUUUGCUGGAGUUGCGAUAGAUUGGGUUAUUUGCAGAAGGGAUUCCUCAGAGGCCUUGUCUCCACUAAGCAAUUACAUUAUUGUUUUUACCCAGCAGUACAGCUCCUGUGCAAGCGCCGGCAGCUCUGGUUUUACAGUGAAGGAACAAAAAGCCACGAUCCUUUAUACCAAAGGAAAGAAAUUGCACUGAGUGGCUUUUCUGCAUAUCCAGAUAACUUUGGGUGUUCUGGCAAUGCCCACAAAGAUGAAGGAGCAGAAUAAAAUUUGUGAUGCGACAGUCAGCAGCCCAGGUGGAGAGCUGCGUACUCUCUUGGCAAAGGAUGUUUGCAGAGCAGUGCAUGGAAGUGGAUGCUUGGCUGUGUCCUGGUAUUGGUGGCACAAGAUAAACGACAUUGGGUGCAUUACUUCAGGAUUAGGAAGGAGACUUUUAGGAGUAUUGGAAAAGGAAGUAGAACAGCUGCUGUAAAGCCAUGCAAGAGACGUGAUGCUUGUGAACAGUUGUGAAAAAAAAAAAUUAGAUCUAUGAAUGGAAAGCAUUAUACAAAUAAAAUGUAAACAGUUUGUAUGUUUGAGCUACCUUUAAGGCAUCUUCAAAGCAUUGCAUAAAGUUACU
Lagopus leucura (white-tailed ptarmigan) is the source of this 1061-nucleotide long non-coding RNA. RefSeq lists it as uncharacterized. Lineage: Eukaryota; Metazoa; Chordata; Aves; Galliformes; Phasianidae. The record is from RefSeq and is a predicted model, not a curated record. The transcript has 3 exons.